This 497-nucleotide ribosomal RNA is filed under the name uncultured bacterium. Its description in RNAcentral is "partial 16S ribosomal RNA". It matches the Rfam family "Bacterial small subunit ribosomal RNA", at positions 28 to 507 of the family's 1533-position model. The record is from RNAcentral.
GAUGAACGCUGGCGGCGUGCCUAAUACAUGCAAGUCGAGCGAACGGACGAGAAGCUUGCUUCUCUGAUGUUAGCGGCGGACGGGUGAGUAACACGUGGAUAACCUACCUAUAAGACUGGGAUAACUUCGGGAAACCGGAGCUAAUACCGGAUGAUAUUUUGAACCGCAUGGUUCAAAAGUGAAAGACGGUCUUGCUGUCACUUAUAGAUGGAUCCGCGCUGCAUUAGCUAGUUGGUAAGGUAACGGCUUACCAAGGCAACGAUGCAUACCCGACCUGAGAGGGUGAUCGGCCACACUGGAACUGAGACACGGUCCAGACUCCUACGGGAGGCAGCAGUAGGGAAUCUUCCGCAAUGGGCGAAAGCCUGACGGAGCAACGCCGCGUGAGUGAUGAAGGUCUUCGGAUCGUAAAACUCUGUUAUUAGGGAAGAACAUAUGUGUAAGUAACUGUGCACAUCUUGACGGUACCUAAUCAGAAAGCCACGGCUAACUACGUG